RNAcentral lists this ribosomal RNA (229 nucleotides) under uncultured bacterium. RNAcentral describes it as "partial 16S ribosomal RNA". It matches the Rfam family "Bacterial small subunit ribosomal RNA", at positions 104 to 334 of the family's 1533-position model. The record is from RNAcentral.
CGGGGUGGGUAAUGCUUGGGAAUCUAGCUUAUGGGAGGGGAUAACUACGGGAAACUGUAGCUAAUACCGCGUAGAAUCGAGAGAUGAAAGUGUGGGACCUUCGGGCCACAUGCCAUAGGAUGAGCCCAAGUGGGAUUAGGUAGUUGGUGAGGUAAAGGCUCACCAAGCCGACGAUCUCUAGCUGGUCUGAGAGGAUGACCAGCCACACUGGGACUGAGACACGGCCCAG